This 612-nucleotide ribosomal RNA is filed under the name Aulaxinella aff. minuta 1 MC-2021a. Its description in RNAcentral is "Aulaxina aff. minuta 1 MC-2021a partial large subunit ribosomal RNA". It matches the Rfam family "Eukaryotic large subunit ribosomal RNA", at positions 35 to 658 of the family's 3401-position model. Lineage: Eukaryota; Fungi; Ascomycota; Lecanoromycetes; Ostropales; Graphidaceae. The record is from RNAcentral.
UAAGCAUAUCAAUAAGCGGAGGAAAAGAAACCAACAGGGAUUGCCCUAGUAACGGCGAGUGAAGCGGCAAAAGCUCAGAUUUGAAAUCUCUUUGCUUUGCAGAGCGAAUUGUAAUCUGUAGAACGUUGAAUGGGGCGCCUUUGCAAUUAAAUUCCCUGGAAUUGGAUAUCAGAGAGGGUGAGAAUCCCGUGAUAUUGCUAUUGGCAAACCACUUAAUUCACGUUUCGACGAGUCGAGUUGUUUGGGAAUGCAGCUCUAAAUGGGUGGUAAAUUUCAUCUAAAGCUAAAUACCUGCCAGAGACCGAUAGCGAACAAGUAGAGUGAUCGAAAGAUGAAAAGCACUUUGAAAAGAGAGUUAAACAGUACGUGAAAUUGUUGAAAGGGAAGCGCUUGCCAUUAGACUUGCUGGAUUCAUUCAGCUGGCUCUCGGGCCCAGCCUAUUUUGUUUCCAUCAGGCCAGCAUCAGUUUGGCGGGGAGUAUAAAUGCGGUUGGAAUGUAGUAACUGUCUAGGCAGUCAUGUUAUAGACUUCCGUAUCAUGCCCUCACACCAGACUGAGGUCUGCUCUUUUGAAAGGAUGCUGGCGUAAUGAUUGUAAGCGACCCGUCUUGAA